Molecule: ribosomal RNA, 468 nt
Filed under: uncultured bacterium
Lineage: Bacteria
Description: partial 16S ribosomal RNA
Rfam family: Bacterial small subunit ribosomal RNA
Source: RNAcentral
GACGAACGCUGGCGGCGUGCUUAACACAUGCAAGUCGAACGGAAAGGCCCUGCUUUUGUGGGGUGCUCGAGUGGCGAACGGGUGAGUAACACGUGAGUAACCUGCCCUUGACUUUGGGAUAACUUCAGGAAACUGGGGCUAAUACCGGAUAGGGCCUCCUGCGCAUGGGUGGGGUUGGGAAAGUUUCGGCGGUGGGGGUUGGACCCGCGGCUUAUCAGCUUGUUGGUGGGGUAGUGGCUUACCAAGGCUUUGACGGGUAGCCGGCCUGAGAGGGUGACCGGCCACAUUGGGACUGAGAUACGGCCCAGACUCCUACGGGAGGCAGCAGUGGGGAAUAUUGCACAAUGGGCGGAAGCCUGAUGCAGCAACGCCGCGUGCGGGAUGACGGCCUUCGGGUUGUAAACCGCUUUCGCCUGUGACGAAGCGUGAGUGACGGUAAUGGGUAAAGAAGCACCGGCUAACUACGUG